AUACGGAGGGUGCAAGCGUUACACGGAAUCACUGGGCGUAAAGCGCGCGCAGGCGGUCUUUUAAGUUGGAUGUGAAAGCCUACGGCUCAACCGUAGAACUGCAUCCAAAACUAUUAGACUAGAGUGUGGGAGAGGAAGAUGGAAUUAGUUGUGUAGGGGUAAAAUCCGUAGAGAUAACUAGGAAUACCAAAAGCGAAGGCAAUCUUCUGGAACACUACUGACGCUGAGGCGCGAAAGCGUGGGGAGCAAACAGGAUUAGAAACCCGGGUAGUCC
Molecule: ribosomal RNA, 274 nt
Filed under: uncultured bacterium
Lineage: Bacteria
Description: partial 16S ribosomal RNA
Rfam family: Bacterial small subunit ribosomal RNA
Source: RNAcentral